GGCCUCGUAGCUCAGCUGGUAGAGCGUGCGCGGCGAAAACGUGCGUCCAUACGUGGGUUCGAAUCUCACCGAGGCUA
This 77-nucleotide transfer RNA is filed under the name Echinostoma caproni. It matches the Rfam family "tRNA". Rfam says of the family: Transfer RNA (tRNA) molecules are approximately 80 nucleotides in length. Their secondary structure includes four short double-helical elements and three loops (D, anti-codon, and T loops). Further hydrogen bonds mediate the characteristic L-shaped molecular structure. tRNAs have two regions of fundamental functional importance: the anti-codon, which is responsible for specific mRNA codon recognition, and the 3' end, to which the tRNAs corresponding amino acid is attached (by aminoacyl-tRNA synthetases). tRNAs cope with the degeneracy of the genetic code in two manners: having more than one tRNA (with a specific anti-codon) for a particular amino acid; and 'wobble' base-pairing, i.e. permitting non-standard base-pairing at the 3rd anti-codon position. The record is from Rfam by way of RNAcentral. Lineage: Eukaryota; Metazoa; Platyhelminthes; Trematoda; Plagiorchiida; Echinostomatidae.